This 67-nucleotide non-coding RNA is filed under the name Gelidibacter mesophilus. RNAcentral's name for it is "S15-Flavobacteria ribosomal protein leader". It matches the Rfam family "S15-Flavobacteria ribosomal protein leader". RNAcentral also lists the same sequence under 1 other name. Lineage: Bacteria; Pseudomonadati; Bacteroidota; Flavobacteriia; Flavobacteriales; Flavobacteriaceae. The record is from RNAcentral.
UAUCUUUGCACCGUGAUUCGAAAACCGAGUUGCGUACAUAACAAUCAUUUACAAUAAUAUUAGCAUG